ACCAGACUCCUACGGGAGGCAGCAGUGGGGAAUAUUGCACAAUGGGGGAAACCCUGAUGCAGCAACGCCGCGUGAGUGAAGAAGUAUUUCGAUAUGUAAAGCUCUAUCAGCAGGGAAGAAGAUGACGGUACCUGAGUAAGAAGCCCCGGCUAACUACGUGCCAGCAGCCGCGGUAAUACGUAGGGGGCAAGCGUUAUCCGGAUUUACUGGGUGUAAAGGGAGCGUAGACGGCAUAGCAAGUCUGAAGUGAAAGCCCAAGGCUCAACCAUGGGACUGCUCUUGGAACUGCGCGGCUGGAGUGCAGGAGGGGCAGGCGGAAUUCCUGGUGUAGCGGUGAAAUGCGUAGAUAUCAGGAGGAACACCGGUGGCGAAGGCGGCCUGCUGGACUGCGACUGACGUUGAGGCCCGAAAGCGUGGGGAGCAAACAGGAUUAGAUACCCCCGUAC
Molecule: ribosomal RNA, 446 nt
Filed under: uncultured bacterium
Lineage: Bacteria
Description: partial 16S ribosomal RNA
Rfam family: Bacterial small subunit ribosomal RNA
Source: RNAcentral